CAUUUCUUGCAGGCUGCAUCCUGUCCUUGCGUGCCAUUUGGUCUGGCACAUGAUGUAGGUGCUCCAAGCGGAUCUGCUGGACACUGACCGGAGACUGGAAGAAGUCUGACACUACUCUACCCAUUCUAGGAGUGUCCAGAGUACUAUGACUGUUCAGUACUUUCUGGUUGGCCUCAGUACAAAGUAGGGGAGUAUGAAGAUGUCUGAAAAUGCACAGGGAAGGAACACAUGACAAUCAGCAGAGCACGCGUGUUGGACAUAUGUUGUACAGAUUUAUCCUCACACCACACUGGCUAUGCAAACAGAGAGAAGGAAAGGAAGAGGGAAUAUCAAAGGAAACGGACUAUGCAAGGCGCCACUUACAGUUCAGGAUCCAGUGUGUCAUUUUUUCUCUUGGAAAAUUGUUCUUUAUUUAUUGUACUAAGGAGAAAAGAGGGACACAAUGAGAAAAAGCAAUAAAAAUGAGCAAUCUGACUACCAUUCUAA
Molecule: long non-coding RNA, 486 nt
Organism: Mustela erminea (ermine)
Lineage: Eukaryota; Metazoa; Chordata; Mammalia; Carnivora; Mustelidae
Exons: 4
Source: RefSeq, a predicted model, not a curated record